This 301-nucleotide ribosomal RNA is filed under the name uncultured bacterium. RNAcentral's name for it is "partial 16S ribosomal RNA". It matches the Rfam family "Bacterial small subunit ribosomal RNA", at positions 509 to 807 of the family's 1533-position model. The record is from RNAcentral.
CAGUCGCCACGGUAAUACGUAGGUGGCAAGCGUUGUCCGGAAUUAUUGGGCGUAAAGGGCUCGCAGGCGGUUUCUUAAGUCUGAUGUGAAAGCCCCCGGCUCAACCGGGGAGGGCCAUUGGAAACUGGGAAACUUGAGUGCAGAAGAGGAGAGUGGAAUUCCACGUGUAGCGGUGAAAUGCGUGGAGAUGUGGAGGAACACCAGUGGCGAAGGCGACUCUCUGGUCUGUAACUGACGCUGAGGAGCGAAAGCGUGGGGAGCGAACAGGUUUAGAUACCCGUGUAGUCCCUGUCUCUUAUAC